UGAAAAGCUAUGAUAAGAAUAAGUAGUAAUAUAUAAUCCAAACAGAAAGUAACCGGUUGAUGAGAGGUGCAUGGUAGUUUAUUAUGAAUACAUCUUUGAGCUUCACACCAAACGAUUUUUUAUCUAGUAGGCUGUGACGUAACCUGCACACGUUAUAGUGCUAGAGUAUAACCCAUGUAAAGCAAUGGAGUACUCGAAGAGGUAGACAAUGUGAGUUGUCUAUAAACUAAGGUGGUAACACGAGAUAUUCUCUCGUCCUUUUG
This 263-nucleotide non-coding RNA is filed under the name Clostridium neonatale. RNAcentral describes it as "T-box". It matches the Rfam family "T-box leader". From Rfam's summary of the family: Uncharged tRNA acts as the effector for transcription antitermination of genes in the T-box leader family. T-boxes are found upstream of many aminoacyl-tRNA synthetase genes and some amino acid biosynthetic genes usually in Gram-positive bacteria. The record is from RNAcentral. Lineage: Bacteria; Bacillati; Bacillota; Clostridia; Eubacteriales; Clostridiaceae.